GCCAGUUUGGUGUAGUGGUUUGAACAUUGGACUAUGAAUCUGGAGGUCAAGGUUCAAAUCUCUGCUUGGCC
Molecule: transfer RNA, 71 nt
Filed under: Phrynosoma platyrhinos (Desert horned lizard)
Lineage: Eukaryota; Metazoa; Chordata; Lepidosauria; Squamata; Phrynosomatidae
Description: tRNA-OTHER
Source: RNAcentral